ACCAAAGCCUGAUACAGAACAAGCCAGGAGAGCUCGUGCUGCAAGCAUGAAGCAUGCUACAGCCCACAGCAGAUCCUCCCCAGAUCAGAAAUGAAUCUCUAACAACGCAUAUGCUGGCUGACCUUGGCUUGCAAUGGCGAAGACCCCUAGGUUUGUCAGUGAACAUUGGGAAUACUUUUCAACUGAAGCUUCCAUUGGUCCCUCUCCUUUGUGGAAAAUGCAGACUUAACAGUAAAGUGAUUGCAGCAGUGAACCACCACACACAGAACUGUGAUGAGGUGAUGGAAGGCCGAUACAGAGGUGAGGACAGCAACCUGGGCCCAUAAGAAGUUCCUGCUGCCAACCGUCCCUGAGUCUUUGCUGCACUGUCUUCUCCUGUCUGUCUGUCUGUCCUGAAACUGAGUGGGUUCUGUAAGCAAUAAGUUCCUUUAGUUCCUUUCUCUUAAACUCAUUCAAGUUCAGUCUGUAUCACACACAGUCUAACUAAUAGAGUUGUCCAAGAUUUUGCCUUUUUUUUUUAAUGUGCCUGGUCCCCCAUCACAGACUGUUCUCUUCUGAAAUGCAGAAGACAUGUAGUACCUCCAGUUACUGUUUGAAUGAGAAAUGCCCUUCAAGGCUCUUGCUUUUGAGCACUUGGUGACCAGCUAGUGCCAUUAUUGCGAGAGACAGAGCUUCACUGGAGGCAGUAGAGAGUCACUGAAGGUGGUCCAUUUUCUGUUCAUACACUGCUUCCUGGGAAUGGGUACAAAGUGACCAGCUGCCUCUUGCACCUGCCAACAUGUCUUCCCUGAUGUAUCAAUUACUUUCUUUGUGUCUAUGGCAACUGUCUUAGUCACUGUUCUAGUUCUGUGAACAGGUACCAUGACCAAGGCAACUCUUCUAAAAGAGGUAUUUAGCUGGGGACUGGCUUACAGUUUCAUGGGGUUUUUCCUUUAGCUUCUUGGUGGGAAGCACACAGGCAUGUCACUUGAGCAAUAGCCAAGAGCUUUACAUCCUGAUUCAAAGGCAGCAGGCAGAGAGAGAGAAAGAGGAGAGAGAGAGAGAGAGAGAGAGAGAGAGAGAGAGAGAGAGAGAGAGAGCGAGCGCACAGGAUUCCUGGAAGCAUUUGAAACCUCAAAGCCGACUCCCAGUGACACUCCUCCUCCAACAAGGCCACACCUCCUACUCCUUCCCAAACAUUUCUAGUAACUAGCAACCAAGCAUAUGCGCCUAUGAGGGCCACUCUCCCCCAAACCACCACAGCACAAACCGUGGCACCAACUGUUUACCACAUGAAUAAGAGAACGAGCAGGUACCUGAGCUGAGUAACUAUACCACAAAACAAUGAGCCCAGACUUGAAGCCUGUGGUCAAUAUUUUUAAUCUAACCAAAAUCAUAGAAUUGCCACUGUUUUAGGUCCUAAGAUAACGAAUUUACAUAAGUAACCAGAAAAGAAAGAUGAAGUAGAAAAGAUACCCAGAUAUACACAUAAAUAUAAUUAGCCAUAAAAAUUGCUGCUUAUCUUGCUUGUGACUUGUUCAAUAACAAUUUAUAUUUAUUAAGACAAAAGUCAACACCUUCCUGAGCUUACUACAAUUUCAAACUUGGGAUCAUUAUGAAAAAAAAGCUUACUCUAAUUAAAAACUUUUGUUUUAUUUUCUGUUUCUAUAAGAGUGUGUUCUUAAUAAUGUUUCCAUCCAUUUCACUUGGGCUUUCAAAGGCAUAUUAGUAAUGUCACAAAAAGCGUUAAAAUAUGAUAAAGGUGUCCUUGUAAAGACAGUUCAUAAAACCAAUGUUUUAAAAUAAGACUCAUAAAAUGUUUCUUACACAGGAUAGAUUUUUAAAGAGAUUGAGAUAUGCUUGAAUUGGGAUAGCAUAGUUAAUUUAUAGACCCCACUUCCCCACACAUACACUCCAGGCCAGAAAAAAAGAAAAAAAAAGAAAAACCUGCUAGGUUCAUACAUGCCACUGUCUGGCUAAGGGGCUAAGCUUCCCACAGUGGAUAGCUCAUCUAAUCAAUUUCUUUUUUCACCCCUCAACUCAGUUCUGGCUGAGAGGAAAAUGGGUCUUAGACCUCAGAACUUCCCAGGACAAAGUACUCUGAGGGACCAACUUGGCCUUCUGCUCUUCUUGAAGUGAUCAUACAUUCCAGAUUUCUAAACCCAGCCCACACCAGAUGGAUUUUUCCAGUUUUCUUGGGUCUAAACUUGAAGGCUAGAGGAAAUACCGUGAGCAGCCCCAGGGCUGGGAUGUGGGAAGGCUCUCUGGGGCUUACAAACAACCACGUUGUGUCCAAUCAGCUCAAUUUAGCUGGCAAGAGGCUUGCUCUGCAGCUGUGGGGAGGUGCACAGCCGGCCCCUCGGCUACCGUAGCUAUUGGCCAACUGUUCUCUCCCAAACAGCACUCACCACAAUCAACAGUGUUUACGCCUCAAGGUCCUCCUUGAAUGCUGUUAAUGAUACAUCCUGAAGACCUCUGGGAAGAGAUCUGUGCCAACUCUGGAACCUGGUGAACAUUCAAUCCGGUGUCGUGAUGUCUUGAUUUCUACAUUAAGUUCCUCGUGGUGCAUUUCAAGUCUUUUUCCAUGUUGUCUCCUGUGAGAAUGAAAAAAAUCAGUCUCCCCUUUUCCCUGAGAUGCUGUACUCCUUGUGCUUGGAGACAACUGCUCCACUUAAUAAUUUCAAGAUCUUGUACGGUCGUGGCCGUCCAUGUGAGUCUCCUUAGGGUCACUCCCAAUGUUUCUUUGUCUACUGUUAAGUUCAAAGCUGGAUAAAUAACAACUGUGCACACACACUUCAUGGAAUCACUUCAACAGCAUUGGAAGUUGAACAGUGAGGACAUUCCCAUAGUGCUUUUCCUGGAGCCAAGGUCACCAUCCUUUCAGAAAGGGGUGUGACUUACUCUGCCUUCAUUUCCUGCCAGGGCCUCCUUUUCCCCACACAGAAGCAUGGAAAUACAUCAAGCCAACACACUUCCGGGUUGGUUUGUUUGUUUCUUGUUUCCAUUCAAAUUUACAAGCCUGAACCCAGGGUCAUAGACUAUAGAUGAUUUUUGUGAUUGUUCUAUUUGGGUCGCUAAAGUAACAAUACUUUUCAGAACUAUAUAUUUUUAAAACAUAAACGUAUAAUAAUCUUUACAUUGCCCUUGUAACUUUUAAGCCCUGUCAUGUUGAGGAAGUAAUCUUACCUGUCUGAAACUUUGGAAUUAGACUCAUUAACACAUCAAAAAUUCUUCUCGUUCUUCAAAGUCCUGGAAUUAACAUUUCUUUGCAUACAAGUUGUCCAGUCAUGAGAUAUUAAAUGAAACUUGUAUUUUAUUGCUAUGUAUUUGAGAUUCUUCAAAUCACUCUACUAAGAUACUACUUACUGUAGCAAUUUUCUAACUUAGGCUCCACACAAGGCAACAUGGCAGUGUUUCUCUGUAGAGAUUCCCACAGUGCCCUGAAGCUUCUAAUUUUCUUGACAGGAGAUUUUAAGUACUGAAGUGACCAAAACAGACUACUCUCAACUGGUACGAUUACUUGAUUUCCUCCAAAACUGAAAAUCAAGAAUCCCCUAAUGUUGAGCAUAACUUAUCAGCUUCGUGGUUCCAGGAAUAUUUAGAUUUUAACUUAUUAUCACCACAAUGUACUUUUCAGACAGGUGGUGUUUCUGUGUUGAUCUUUGAGAAGACAAUACAGGUUAAUUCUUUUUCUUUCCUUUCUUACUUGUUUUUGUGAACUUAGAGGCAAGUUUUAACUUCUUAGAAAGCUUGAACAGUAAGACAGUUAGGUUAGGCUUCUUUCUCUUUCAUGUAUACUAGUUUGGGGCAGGGGAGAACCCUUCCUCACGUACACCAGCUUAGAAGCUGGAGGCCCCUUCCUGCAACUGAACUUGACUGCUUUUAACGUUUGCCUUCUUCUGAAGCUCAUGUCUCAUACUCCUUCAUGCUGAACUUGCACUCUGUGCAGUGAACUGACAUUCCACAAUUAUCUUGGGAGCCUGAGAUAGUUUCCAACUGGUGAAUCAUCCAGUCUAAAGGACACUCUGACUGUGAGAAAAAGUUAGAACUGUCACUCAAGUCAACAGACUUGGGAAAGUCAGGAAAUGAAGAAAGAGGGCUAACAAGGGAACAGCUGGACUUACCUGAAGAGGAUUGGCAGCAGAGUUGAGCUUAUACAUAUUCAUAUACAUAUACAUAUACAUAUACAUAUACAUAUACAUAUACAUACACAUACACAUACACAUACACACACAGUGCUUUAAUAAACUUUACACUGACCAAGAAAAAAAGUACUUUAUGCAUGCAAAUGACACAUAUGGUAUUUUCUGCAUACAGUUUUCUACUUUAUGUAGAAGAUGCUUUCAAUUUAGGGUUAAAUUCCACCACAAGUGAGAAUCUUUCCCAGGUAAAGUACAUUUCACGAGUGGAACGGUGCUCCAUGCUUGGUUAAGAUCACUCACUGCUCCUGCAAAGGACCCAGAUUCAGUUCCCAGCACCCAUGUGGGGCAGCUCUCAACCACCUCUAGUUCCAGUGCCAGGGGAUCUGAUUGCCUCUCCUGCCUCCACAGGUACCUCUACACGCAUAAACAUAAACAAAUAAUAAAAUAAAAGUUUAAAAGACAGAAUAUUUUAAAAGCUAAAUAUACUAUGUUCUUGGUUUAACAGCACGAUAUGAAGGAAUAAAGUUGAUUUGGGCCUUCGUGAAUGUUUUACUGACAUUUCAUCAUGAACAAGUAUGUCUUUUUUGUCUUUUCAGAAAGAUUCGUUUUCUCCUCUAUUUUUUAAACUGGGAAUUUUUUUCACAACAUGAGAGGCGCAUGCAUGUUGGGAUAUUAGAGUCCAUGUACAGAAGCCAUACACACUCAUGAACAGCAGUCGCAUCCAGGUGUCAGAUGUCUCAGGUAUAGACAACUCUAGCCGACAAAGCAGACUCUCUGCAAGUGUGAGAACUUGAGACUUCCAGAGCCUGAGUUCUGUGCAAAUGUCCUCUUCCUCCUCCGUGGGCUCUUUUGCUAGACAAUUGACUCAAAGCACUUUCUCAUCUAUGGCCGUGUCUUUUGACAAAGGGGGCUUACUUUCUUUCCCUGAUUGCAUGACUGUUAUCUCACAUGACAGACUUCUGUUUUUAACAAGUUUACCUCCGAAGUUGGAACGCCAUCCGCUCAGCUGUGAUUCUCCUCUCAUUUCCCGCGGGAAACUUUCCUGCUUUUAUAUGGAUAUCAUAUUCUCUUGGUUACUCGCCAUAUCUUUGCAAAUCUUGAUGUCAGAAAUAUAAACAAUUCAUGUUUAUUCUGCAUCAAGGCUGCCCUUUCUAUUCCUUGCCUUUUACAUUUUUGUGUGGAUCUUAUAAAGAUAUUACCAACUGGUCCUAAAACAGGCCAGACCUUCACUGUAACACUGACUUUAUAA
Non-coding RNA from Rattus norvegicus (Norway rat), 5370 nucleotides. Lineage: Eukaryota; Metazoa; Chordata; Mammalia; Rodentia; Muridae. The record is from RefSeq and is a predicted model, not a curated record.